RNAcentral lists this ribosomal RNA (468 nucleotides) under uncultured bacterium. RNAcentral's name for it is "partial 16S ribosomal RNA". It matches the Rfam family "Bacterial small subunit ribosomal RNA", at positions 28 to 507 of the family's 1533-position model. The record is from RNAcentral.
GACGAACGCUGGCGGCGUGCUUAACACAUGCAAGUCGAACGGAAAGGCCCUGCUUUUGUGGGGUGCUCGAGUGGCGAACGGGUGAGUAACAUGUGAGUAACCUGCCCUUGACUUUGGGAUAACUUCAGGAAACUGGGGCUAAUACCGGAUAGGAGCUCCUGCUGCAUGGUGGGGGUUGGAAAGUUUCGGCGGUUGGGGAUGGACUCGCGGCUUAUCAGCUUGUUGGUGUGGUAGUGGCUUACCAAGGCUUUGACGGGUAGCCGGCCUGAGAGGGUGACCGGCCACAUUGGGACUGAGAGACGGCCCAGACUCCUACGGGAGGCAGCAGUGGGGAAUAUUGCACAAUGGGCGGAAGCCUGAUGCAGCAACGCCGCGUGCGGGAUGACGGCCUUCGGGUUGUAAACCUCUUUCGCCUGUGACGAAGCGUGAGUGACGGUAAUGGGUAAAGAAGCACCGGCUAACUACGUG